Pan troglodytes (chimpanzee) is the source of this 225-nucleotide long non-coding RNA. RefSeq lists it as uncharacterized. The transcript has 3 exons. The record is from RefSeq and is a predicted model, not a curated record. NCBI's taxonomy places the organism in Eukaryota, Metazoa, Chordata, Mammalia, Primates, Hominidae.
ACAUGGGUGCACUCUGUCUAUGGCAUCAUGUUAAUCAUGCUGGAUGAACAAGAAAUGGCAAAUAUGUUAGAGAACUUGAUAAGGUGUUUCCAGUAUUCAAAUCCAUCCUAACUAAAGGAAGAAUUGCCAUUCCAAUGAACGCAUUCCACAGGUGGAGGAGAGUGGAGGGGAGUAAGAUUAGAAGCAAGGAUACCAGUAGGAUGCAGUUACAGCAAUCCAGGUGGC